RNAcentral lists this ribosomal RNA (252 nucleotides) under uncultured bacterium. RNAcentral describes it as "partial 16S ribosomal RNA". It matches the Rfam family "Bacterial small subunit ribosomal RNA", at positions 524 to 776 of the family's 1533-position model. The record is from RNAcentral.
UACGGAGGGGGCUAGCGUUGUUCGGAAUUACUGGGCGUAAAGCGCACGUAGGCGGCUUUGUAAGUUAGAGGUGAAAGCCCGGAGCUCAACUCCGGAACUGCCUUUAAGACUGCAUCGCUUGAAUCCGGGAGAGGUGAGUGGAAUUCCGAGUGUAGAGGUGAAAUUCGUAGAUAUCGAGAGGAACACCGGUGGCGAAGGCGGCCAACUGACGAAUACUGACGCUGAGACUCGAAAGCGUGGGGAGCAAACAGG